GUCCGAAGUAAUCUAUCCCUGUGUAGGAGAACGGUCUGGCGUACGGCGACACUCGAGCUAACGGCAACUCAUUCAUCACUGGAGGUUUAGGUGGUACUCCGUUACAAUCAGAUCGGUGAGCCAGGAUUUUUUGGGAAGAAUAAUUGGCCUCUUCAUGUCAUGGCUUGCGUAACGACAAGCAUCGAUUCUUCCUCGUACUCAUCCCUUUGUACCUGAUUUGUCAUGCAGAAGUAGCUGAUAUUCUUCUGGAAACUCUAAUCGUUGCGCUUCCUUGAUGAUCGAUUGCUCAGCUUGUUGUAGCUCGAGAUGCGAAAGGGGUCCAAAAUAUCGAGACAUUUUUGGCAGACGAGAAUUAUUGAUGUACCUCCACAUGUAGGCGAUGGCUCGAUGCAGGCGUUUCCAAUCAGAAAAUCUGUCAAAGAUAAUUACUGGGGAUAAUUCACGAUGAUAUGAAACCGUCUGGCGUAACUCUUCCUCAGUAGUUGAAGGUCUGAAGCUUUGCACUUGCCACUCGUUUUCCGGUUGCUGUAGGAACGCUGGUCCUUUAAACCACAUUCCGGUCGUGCAGUGUCGGUUAAGGUUGGACCAUUUUGUACCUUCGUCGGCUACGUUGUUUUUAGUCGGCACCCACUGCCAUUCCUUUACUGACGAGUUUUCUAAUAUUUCGCCUACUCGAUGAGCUACGUAGACGCUAUAAUUUCGAUGAUCCGAGUUGAGCCAACACAAAACGUCUUUUGAAUCGGUCCACAAGAAGCGUCUAUGGAUCUUUAUCCGGUGUGAUUGAUGAAUACCUGUCAUCAGUCUAACUCCCAAUACUGCAGCUUGCAGCUCUAAUCGGGGAAUCGAUGUAUAUUUUAACGGAGCUACUCGAGUUUUUGCGCCGAUCAACACAACUUCCCGUUGAUCUUCGGAUUCGAAUCGGAAGUACGCCACGGCUGCGAAACCGUCUCUCCCGGCGUCUACAAAAAUAUGAAGCUGUGUCGUGCAGUUCUCUAAGCUGAUGGACGUGCGGUAACAUCGCGGAAUCUUGAUAGAUUGCAGAUGGGGUAUGCAAGUUAACCACUCCUUCCAUUUGUCUUGCAGAGAACUGGGUAUUUGAUCGUCCCACCCAAUUCCAGAACGCCAAACUUCUUGCAAUAAGACUUUGAGGAACAGUAAAAAGCCUGCUAUCAAGCCUAACGGAUCGUAGAUUGUCAUAAGCGUGCUCAGUACUUGCCGUUUGGUUGGUAUCACGAUCCCUUGUAGAACAUCUACAUCCUUUAACGGCACUUUGAAUUGGAACGUAUCUUCGUUUGCGUUCCAAUACAUUCCCAAGACCUUCUGGGUACAAGCUGUUGGAUCGAGGUUCAUAUCCUUCUCCCGGCUGUUGCUACUACCAACGCCAUCUAAUACUUGGCCAUAAUUCGACAUCCAAUUGUGAAGCUUGAAUCCUCCUUGUGAGUGAAUAAAUUUCACAUCUUGUGCUAGCUUCGUGGCCUCGGUCACACUCUCUAUACUGGCAAGCAUAUCGUCGACGUAGUGAUGACGCUUAAUACAUUCGACGGCUAGAGGAUAGCGGGCCGCGAAACGGUCCGCGUUUACAUUCUUUACAAAUUGGGCGGAAGUUGGUGAACAGGCUGACCCAAAGGUCAUCCUCAGCAUCACAUAUUCAUCGGGCUCAACUUGCGACCGGUCCGUUCGCCAUAGGAAUCUUUGGCUAAUCAGAUCCUCUUCUUUAAUCAUAACCUGAUGGUACA
Molecule: long non-coding RNA, 1736 nt
Organism: Anopheles merus
Lineage: Eukaryota; Metazoa; Arthropoda; Insecta; Diptera; Culicidae
Exons: 3
Source: RefSeq, a predicted model, not a curated record